This 560-nucleotide small RNA is filed under the name Pan troglodytes (chimpanzee). RNAcentral's name for it is "processed transcript". Lineage: Eukaryota; Metazoa; Chordata; Mammalia; Primates; Hominidae. The record is from RNAcentral.
GUGGCUGGCCAGAGUUUCUGCAAUAACAAUCUAUACAUGCUAACUAAGGCAGCUGCCUACCUUGGCCGGCAGGUAGGCAGGCAGGAAGCCUUAUCAGUUGUGAGCGAGGACCAGUCGUUGUUUGAGUGUGCCUACGGAACGCCACACCUGGCUAAGACAGAAAUGACCGCGUCCUCCUCCAGCGACUAUGGACAGACUUCCAAGAUGAGCCCACGCGUCCCUCAGCAGGAUUGGCUGUCUCAACCCCCAGCCAGGGUCACCAUCAAAAUGGAAUGUAACCCUAGCCAGGUGAACGGCUCAAGGAACUCUCCUGAUGAAUGCAGUGUGGCCAAAGGCGGGAAGAUGGUGGGCAGCCCAGACACCGUUGGGAUGAACUACGGCAGCUACAUGGAGGAGAAGCACAUGCCACCCCCAAACAUGACCACGAACGAGCGCAGAGUUAUCGUGCCAGCAGAUCCUACGCUAUGGAGUACAGACCAUGUGCGGCAGUGGCUGGAGUGGGCGGUGAAAGAAUAUGGCCUUCCAGACGUCAACAUCUUGUUAUUCCAGAACAUCGAUGG